This is a long non-coding RNA of Aegilops tauschii subsp. strangulata, 546 nucleotides long. RefSeq lists it as uncharacterized. The record is from RefSeq and is a predicted model, not a curated record. Lineage: Eukaryota; Viridiplantae; Streptophyta; Magnoliopsida; Poales; Poaceae.
CCCGUGACCCCACAUCCCGCGCGCAAGGUGUCCGCGAUUUUCUCUUUUCGCGCGCGCUCGGCGAGUGGCGGGCGGGGAGGUCGCCUGCGCCGCCGACAUCGCAGCGACUCUCCGGCUGGGCUCUGCUCCACCACCCAACCACCUUUUCGACGUACUACUCCAGGAGGAUUCAACCGGCUGUUACCGGAGCCCGCGCCGUGCCCGUGCUGCGCCCGUGCGAGGACAACGCGACAAGGGAAAAGAAGGUCAUAAUCCCGAGCUUUCUGGGAACUUCGCCCGGGAUAUUUGUGUUGUUUCCAAGAAACUCCAAUAGCCAGAGAACAACCCAUGUGUAGAAAAGUAAUAUGAUACUUCCGAGCCACAGGUCACGUGAUAAUGGCUCAACGAAAAUCCAUGUGUUGUUAGUUCUACUGCUCUUGGCUGGAACAACCAUUGCCACUCCUGAUUCUGUGUACGGUAGAGUGAAGUCGACGUAAGACAUUCUGUUCUCUGAGAUUGUUAUGUCUCCAAUUGCUAUAUCGUAUUUCUGCAAGUGCAUCAAACAGA